RNAcentral lists this unclassified non-coding RNA (445 nucleotides) under Hevea brasiliensis (rubber tree). The record is from RNAcentral. Lineage: Eukaryota; Viridiplantae; Streptophyta; Magnoliopsida; Malpighiales; Euphorbiaceae.
UGAAGAUCCACUUUGUAAUGACGUUGGGCCAAAACUCUCAGCCGAACAUUUACACUUGCAGUUGGUCUCUAUACAAUGAGCAUAAUCACGAAGUUCAAUUCUCUCACCAUUCCUUUCUUCUGGAACUGCAGGUCCCACGAGUUCAAUAUAGAUUUGAACAUCAGGAAAAACUGCAUGCAGUUCACUGAACACUGCAAGUUGAUGAAGCUCUUUUUCAGGACCUAAAUAAUGUAUGUGUAGCUCGUUACUAAUUUCAGGAAUCAGGUUCCCUUGAACUGCCAGCUUAAUAGCCCAAUACAGCGUCAGCGACCAGUGAAGUAGCAAAGCAACAGGAGAAUCAAGCGGAAUGCACCUCCAUUCAUAAUAUUCUUUCCAACCACUAAGUAACUUGGGUAACGGAGUGGAUGGCUCUCUACAAGGACACAGUGUAAUAGAUAGGUUCCAG